RNAcentral lists this ribosomal RNA (464 nucleotides) under Vreelandella stevensii. RNAcentral's name for it is "partial 16S ribosomal RNA". It matches the Rfam family "Bacterial small subunit ribosomal RNA", at positions 338 to 794 of the family's 1533-position model. The record is from RNAcentral. Lineage: Bacteria; Pseudomonadati; Pseudomonadota; Gammaproteobacteria; Oceanospirillales; Halomonadaceae.
CCGACGGGUAGCAGCAGUGGGGAAUAUUGGACAAUGGGCGAAAGCCUGAUCCAGCCAUGCCGCGUGUGUGAAGAAGGCCUUCGGGUUGUAAAGCACUUUCAGUGGGGAAGAAAGCCUUGGGGCUAAUACCCUCGAGGAAGGACAUCACCCACAGAAGAAGCACCGGCUAACUCCGUGCCAGCAGCCGCGGUAAUACGGAGGGUGCGAGCGUUAAUCGGAAUUACUGGGCGUAAAGCGCGCGUAGGCGGUCUGAUAAGCCGGUUGUGAAAGCCCCGGGCUCAACCUGGGAACGGCAUCCGGAACUGUCAGGCUAGAGUGCAGGAGAGGAAGGUAGAAUUCCCGGUGUAGCGGUGAAAUGCGUAGAGAUCGGGAGGAAUACCAGUGGCGAAGGCGGCCUUCUGGACUGACACUGACGCUGAGGUGCGAAAGCGUGGGUAGCAAACAGGAUUAGAUACCCCAGUAGU